UCCGAGUUGACCCCGGCAGUCUCCCACGAGUCCCCGACAUAACCCGCUGGCAACAUGGGAUAAGGGUUGCGCUCGUUGCGGGACUUAACCCAACAUCUCACGGCACGAGCUGACGACAGCCAUGCACCACCUGCACACAGGCCACAAGGGAACCGACAUCUCUGCCGGCGUCCUGUGCAUGUCAAGCCCAGGUAAGGUUCCUCGCGUAUCAUCGAAUUAAACCACAUGCUCCGCUGCUUGUGCGGGCCCCCGUCAAUUCCUUUGAGUUUUAGCCUUGCGGCCGUACUCCCCAGGCGGGGCACUUAAUGCGUUAGCUGCGGCACGGAAGGAGUCGACACCUCCCACACCUAGUGCCCAUCGUUUACGGCGUGGACUAC
RNAcentral lists this unclassified non-coding RNA (377 nucleotides) under uncultured Actinomycetes bacterium. RNAcentral's name for it is "uncultured actinobacterium contains 16S-23S intergenic spacer region". The record is from RNAcentral. Lineage: Bacteria; Bacillati; Actinomycetota; Actinomycetes.